UACGAAGGGGGCUAGCGUUGCUCGGAAUCACUGGGCGUAAAGGGCGCGUAGGCGGGUUGCUAAGUCAGGGGUGAAAUCCUGGAGCUCAACUCCAGAACUGCCUUUGAUACUGGCGGUCUCGAGUCCGGGAGAGGUGAGUGGAACUGCGAGUGUAGAGGUGAAAUUCGUAGAUAUUCGCAAGAACACCAGUGGCGAAGGCGGCUCACUGGCCCGGUACUGACGCUGAGGUGCGAAAGCGUGGGGAGCAAACAGG
This 253-nucleotide ribosomal RNA is filed under the name uncultured bacterium. Its description in RNAcentral is "partial 16S ribosomal RNA". It matches the Rfam family "Bacterial small subunit ribosomal RNA", at positions 524 to 776 of the family's 1533-position model. The record is from RNAcentral.